ACCCGUAGUCUCGUGACCCAAAAUUCGUAUCCCCAUAGACUGAAGUCACAGACCGAAUAUUUUCGCACGGUUAUAAUAAUAUAAAUCACGUAGUCGCCGUCCGGCUAUAUUGUAUUCACAAAUGUAUAUCUGUGCUAAAACCUGUAUAUUGCGCGAAGACCAGUUAUAAAUCAUAUACGCGAUAACUUUUGAAAUAUAAUGUAUUAUAAUUUUGGGUUUAUUAUAUACACCGUGUGACCGAAAAACUCGCAACAAAAAUAUACACGAAUAACGUAUCUGCAUAGGCAAUUGUCAAAUCUCGCAGAUACACUCUGUAUAUCUUCCUCUUGGAGGACCUGCCACAAACAAUCCUCUCCGCCUUUCCUUGUCGAAUGCUUAUAAUUCAAUUAACUCAUUUAUGUCCACCGUACGAAUAUCCUUUUCCAUAGCAGUCCUCCAUCUCGUUCGCGGCCUACCAAUUGUUGGUCUUUUUUAUGCAUCAUAAUAGUUAUGACCAGUAUUAAUAAAUCGCCUUCAGUUCUCCAAUUGUGCCUGAAUCACACUAUCUCACCCUGUUUAUUCGCAUACAGAUA
Non-coding RNA from Cinara cedri, 572 nucleotides. The record is from the annotation of a GenBank genome assembly. Lineage: Eukaryota; Metazoa; Arthropoda; Insecta; Hemiptera; Aphididae.